Papaver somniferum (opium poppy) is the source of this 543-nucleotide long non-coding RNA. RefSeq lists it as uncharacterized. The record is from RefSeq and is a predicted model, not a curated record. Lineage: Eukaryota; Viridiplantae; Streptophyta; Magnoliopsida; Ranunculales; Papaveraceae. The transcript has 4 exons.
UUUUCUCUGCAAAAUAUCGUCAGGAGAAAGCUAGGGUUUCAAAAAUCAAAUCAAUCCUUAGCUUAGAUUAGCUCAAGAUUUAGAAUCGUCCAUAUAUGUUAUGUAAUGAGUUUGAUUUAGGGUUCAUCCUUGAAUCAGUGAAGAAAACAAUUAUGGUUUUUUUCUUUGGGUGUUUUCGUGUUGAAGAUGAGAACCAAAAUCAUCAUAUCAUCUCUGAUUCUUUCAACAAAAAAAAUCCUUUGGUAUCUAGGAAUCGUCUAGUAGCGUUACUCUUAUCUGAAUCUCAAGGUGUGGGUUGCAGCUGUAAUGAUAGAGGUGGAUUUGUAGUUUGUCCUAAUUCUGUUAUGAAGAAGCUGAAGUAUUGAUUUGGGUUACAAUGAAUUAUGUCUUAGAUGAGGAUGAUUAUGAGUUACUGCGGGAUAACAAUGUGGGAUUUCACCGUCCUGCACCAUUCCAGGUGAUCCUUCUAUAAUUGGAAAAGAAACGUGCAAAGGAAAAUUUUAUAUGUGGCUCGAGUGAGGUGUCCUAGUAACUUUCAAGCUG